This 433-nucleotide ribosomal RNA is filed under the name uncultured bacterium. RNAcentral describes it as "partial 16S ribosomal RNA". It matches the Rfam family "Bacterial small subunit ribosomal RNA", at positions 29 to 507 of the family's 1533-position model. The record is from RNAcentral.
AACGGACGCUGGCGGCAUGCCUAACACAUGCAAGUCGAACGAGGCCUUCGGGUCUAGUGGCGCACGGGUGCGUGACGCGUGGGAACCUGCCCUUAGGUUCGGAAUAACUCCCCGAAAGGGGUGCUAAUACCGGAUAAUGUCUUCGGACCAAAGAUUUAUCGCCUUUGGAUGGGCCCGCGUUGGAUUAGCUAGUUGGUAGGGUAAAAGCCUACCAAGGCGACGAUCCAUAGCUGGUCUGAGAGGAUGAUCAGCCACACUGGGACUGAGACACGGCCCAGACUCCUACGGGAGGCAGCAGUGGGGAAUAUUGGACAAUGGGCGAAAGCCUGAUCCAGCAAUGCCGCGUGAGUGAUGAAGGCCUUAGGGUUGUAAAGCUCUUUUACCCGGGAUGAUAAUGACAGUACCGGGAGAAUAAGCUCCGGCUAACUCCGUG